Helianthus annuus (common sunflower) is the source of this 2037-nucleotide RNA transcript. RefSeq lists it as uncharacterized. The transcript has 7 exons. Lineage: Eukaryota; Viridiplantae; Streptophyta; Magnoliopsida; Asterales; Asteraceae. The record is from RefSeq and is a predicted model, not a curated record.
AAUUUUAAGACACUUCAGGGUUAGCCUAGGGAUUUCACCAAUGCAAAUUCAUUACAGCCCUGUAAAUGAAUCGUCCGGCUAUUAAGCAAAGGGUGUCAUUCAGUUUUACCAGAUUAGACACUUAUUCCAAUCGUUGGUUUACACAGACGACUGAAGGAUUCUGGGCGACAACGAUGAACACUAGGCGGUGAUGGUGGGUCGAUUUAAUUUACGCCAAACCUUGGUCGUGCCUUUUUGUUGGUUCCAUAGACGGUCUUAAGGGUUUCUGAAUAUGCUUUACCACAAUCGUUGAGAUAACUGGUGUUCACAAUGCAAUCAAGGAGUGUUAGUUCCUUCAUUCUCCUUUUUUUUUAUUUUAAUCGAAUUAUUGUAAUUAUUAUUUAGUUAUUCUGAAUUUUUUGUGUUUAUCUUUUCGAUUACUGAUUAGAAAUUUGUGAUUUGUAAACGAAACUUGUGAUUUAAAUUGUAAAUCGACUUGUUUAACUGUUAUAUGAAUGUUGAAUUAAACGAGUCUCAGUUAAAAUUUUGUAUGGGUCAAAUGGGUGCCUUUAACAAUAGCUUGUUUCAUGUGGAGAUUAAUUCAAGAUCGCAUCCCAGUUGCUAAAUAUUUGAGCCAUGGGGGUUUUUGGUAAACUCUGUGAUCUGAAAUCUUUGCUUAAAGGAUCAAGUGUUUGUGAUCUGCAAUCCAUGUUAUCAAAUUUUUUUUCUCAUGAUAUUCUCUGUUAUCUGCUUCUUCACCCUCACGUAAGUAUCCUCACUAUUACUAAUACCAUUAGCAUCCUGAACUGGGAAUUCAUUCUGCACUAUAUUGGAUUGAAAUACCACACUAUUUUCGAUAUUAGGAUUCAACGUCGUCACGAACUUGUGAUCCUUUAUGUUCAGUGGAUGAAACAAGCUCACUAGAAUAUGAAGCUACUUACCAGCCAAAAACCGAUUUAUUAAAAGCUCUCGCAAUAUUUGGAGUUGCGGCCACAUGGGCAGUUGCAAUUAAUCAUGAAGUGUCAAAUAGCGAAGAAUUUGGAACUGAAUCGGCGAAAAAACUUGAGGCGUUUCAUGUUUUCUACUAUUUUUGUAAAAAAAGACAUAAUUAACGUUUUAAAGCUGCAAGCCGUUGGUUGUGUUGCUCGAGGGAAUCAACUUACAAUGUGAAUGGGACCUUGUGAAAGCGAUAUCAGAGAACUGUUUGCCUGUGAUUGCGUCAAUGAGCGUUGCAACUGGUAGACAACAAAGCUCAUUCUAGAUUCGGGAUAUGUACACGAUCUGAUACUUUAUAUCAAGUCAUAACUCUUCUUUCUGACCCAGAGGUGCGGUGUGUAGGGGUAGUUGAAGCUGGCUCCCAACACGUGUUAGGAUUAAUCACAUUGAGGGACGUAUUUUCGCUCAUUUUUAGAGAUUAUCAUCUCCAGCAAAUGGCGCAACUGUUUCAGUUAUAGUUCCAUCUAUCAAGGUACUUUAAACCAUACCAAAACAUUUGUAAUUCGAGGAAUCUGGUGUUAUUAUGGAUCCGUUAAAAGUUUGUAAUUCAGUCGAGGGGACGGGGACACGAUGAUGAAGCUAUUGAGAAGAUGCUGAAUUACAUGUCUUUGAUUAAGAAGUUUGAGUAAUUUCUAUGUCUUGUUUCUGUCUAUAUUUCCAAAAAUUACAACGAUUUUGGAGUGGAAAUUAACAAACCCAGAACACGUGAUGAUAUAAUGAUUUGUACCAAGCGCAUUGAGAUAGUGUACCUGUAUCAUAUACUUGCUCUCUUGUCACUAUAUCAGUUGCAUAAUUAGUUUGAGAUGGAAAAAGUCAAUUUUAUUAAAAAAUCUGGUGCACUUGGAAUCAAACUUUUAAGUUGAAACUACUCAGUACUCACUUGGAACCUCAAGUUUGUAGCUCCGUGUGAUCGAUAAAAUAUGUGGAACCCGUUGCGAAACGUGCGGCCAAAAACAUAAAUACCCGCGGCAACGCGUGGGCAUUCCCACUAGUAUAUAUAUAUGUUGGGAUUGAACCCUACCAGAGGAACAGAUAAUGUCAAGCCAAAACCGGAUCACAUCA